Molecule: ribosomal RNA, 558 nt
Filed under: Thermomyces sp. BR
Lineage: Eukaryota; Fungi; Ascomycota; Eurotiomycetes; Eurotiales; Trichocomaceae
Description: eukaryotic LSU rRNA
Rfam family: 5.8S ribosomal RNA (bases 180-333)
Source: RNAcentral
CUCCCACCCGUGUCUACCACACCUAGUGUUGCUUUGGCGGGCCCACUCCUCCGGUGUUCCGCCGGGGGGGUCGUCCCGGGGCGCGGUGUGCCCCCGGGGCCCGUGCCCGCCAGAGGCACUCACUGUGAACGCUUUUGUGAAUGCGAGGAUUGUCUGAGUGACGAAAUGCAAUCGUUCAAAACUUUCAACAAUGGAUCUCUUGGUUCCGGCAUCGAUGAAGAACGCAGCGAAAUGCGAUAAGUAAUGUGAAUUGCAGAAUUCCGUGAAUCAUCGAAUCUUUGAACGCACAUUGCGCCCUCUGGUAUUCCGGGGGGCAUGCCUGUCCGAGCGUCAUUGCGAACCCUCAAGCACGGCUUGUGUGUUGGGCCGCCGUCCCCUCGUUUGGAGGGGACGGGCCUGAAAGGCAGCGGCGGCGUCGCGUCCGGUCCUCGAGCGUAUGGGGCUCUGUCACGCGCUCAAGGAGGGGUCCGGCCGGGGCCAUAGCCUCUGAAGGUCAAUUCUUCCAAGGUUGACCUCGGAUCAGGUAGGAGUACCCGCUGAACUUAAGCAUAUCAAUAA